AGGGUAUAACCAGGAGUUGCGAAGUGGUCGUAGUUGUUCAUGUCUCAAUCUGGAUCAUCUUUGCUUUUUGCUUCUGCUUUGUGCUAUCCCUCUUCCCGUACCUCAGUUCUAUCUGGAACCAUGAUCUGUGACUGCCAUGGAAAAGUGUUGGGCAGGAGGAGGCCAGCUGGGUCUUUGAAGUUGACAAUGGAGCCAGGAAUGAAAGCUGCACUUAGGAUGAGAAUUGCUUUCCCUGGAGCCAAGUCAGCAAAUGCAGUCUGGUUGUCAGAGCUGAGAGGCUUCACCAAGUCAAGUAGGGGAGGACAUCUUCACUCUGCAACUUGCCCUACUGAAUGCAGAAAGUACUGUCUACUUAGAUAAAGCCUACACUAAAAGGGAAUUGAAUCUCUGCAAAUAAGUAUGUGGAUCUAAUUUCUACCUUCCAGAUUAAAAGUAUAAUUAAAAAUGAAA
This 450-nucleotide long non-coding RNA is filed under the name Homo sapiens (human). RNAcentral's name for it is "non-protein coding lnc-ANO5-2:2". The record is from RNAcentral. Lineage: Eukaryota; Metazoa; Chordata; Mammalia; Primates; Hominidae.